GGUGGAUAUAGUUCAAAGGUUAGAAUGUCAAUUUGUGGUAUUGAGUAUUCUGGUUCGAAUCCAGAUUUUCACC
RNAcentral lists this transfer RNA (73 nucleotides) under Pneumocystis sp. 'macacae'. RNAcentral describes it as "tRNA-His". It matches the Rfam family "tRNA". From Rfam's summary of the family: Transfer RNA (tRNA) molecules are approximately 80 nucleotides in length. Their secondary structure includes four short double-helical elements and three loops (D, anti-codon, and T loops). The record is from RNAcentral. Lineage: Eukaryota; Fungi; Ascomycota; Pneumocystomycetes; Pneumocystales; Pneumocystaceae.